GAUGAAGAACGCAGUGAAAUGCGAUACUUGGUGUGAAUUGCAGAAUCCCGCGAAUCAUCGAGUUUUUGAACGCAAGUUGCGCCCGAAGCCAUUCGGCCGAGGGCACGUCUGCCUGGGUGUCACGCAUCGUUGCCCCCCCAAACUCCGGUUCGGGCGGGGCGGAAGUUGGCCUCCCGUGCGUGCCUGCGCGCGCGGUUAGCCCAAAAGCGAGUCCUCGGCGAUGAGCGCCACGACAAUCGGUGGUUUUUUUACCCUCGUUCCUCGUCGUGCGUGCCCCGUCGCCCGAACGCGCUCUUGCAACCCUUACGCGUCGCCUCGGUGGCGCUCCCAACGCGACCCCAGGUCAGGCGGGACUACCCGCUGAGUUUAAGCAUAUCAAAAGCGGAGGA
This 389-nucleotide unclassified non-coding RNA is filed under the name soil metagenome. RNAcentral's name for it is "partial contains 5.8S ribosomal RNA, internal transcribed spacer 2, and large subunit ribosomal RNA". The stretch from base 1 to 122 matches the Rfam family "5.8S ribosomal RNA", at positions 35 to 154 of the family's 154-position model. The record is from RNAcentral.